AGCAAUAAUUAGCCAUUUUAAAGAAGGGGUUUACCUACAUAAAUGUGCAUGCCCAUCGGUGUAUGUGCAUUUGUGCACAUGUAUGUGCAUCUGAGAGUAUGUGUUUGCAUGUGAGAGCAUCUGUGUGUGUGUAGGAACUUUGCAGCACCCACAGGGCCAUCUUCUUGUCAGGCCCAAGGGGCAGCCUGAGAGAGUUGACCGCGACACACACACACACACACACACACACACACACACACACGCCAUUUGUGAUCAUGUGCUCAUAUGACUAUAUGUGCCCAAGAAAUCACAUUCAUGUGUUGCAUGUGUGUGAGCACGUUUGAGUAUGUGUGGGCAUCUCCAUAUGUGUAUGAAUGUGUGCAUGUGUAUGCUUGUACGUGCACAUGUAUAGCAGUGGGAGGGAGUCUGUGGGGACAGUCUCUGAUCUGGGAGGCACUUUGUGGUAAGAAGGGUCUUGUGGUUGUCUUUCACUAUGUCCAUUCCCUGCCCUGCCCUGCCCUGCCCAGCUCCACGUGAAUGUAGCACAACCCCACCAGGCCAGCUGAGCCUCUGCUGGCCCUCACCUCUGUCCAUGUCCCCCUCAGCUGAGGGUAGGGUAGAGGAGCUGGAGUUCCCUUGGAUAGGACACUGACUGGGUUUGGCCAGGGUGCAGAGGGUAUGACACAGUGGUAGGUCUCACUGUUGUGGUUUGUUUCUGAAUUUGUACUGUGAGCCCAUGAUGGGGGUGGGGGUGUCCUGAGACCCCAGGAUGUGCCAAAAUAGCCCCUAGGGCCAGGUGACGAGCCGAGUUCCCAAGAAGACAGGCUGGGGGCCCAAGUGGGUGUGUACCCCUGCCUGCAUGGCCCCCAAUGCUGCUGUUUUUCAAUAAAACCAGAAUUG
Molecule: long non-coding RNA, 879 nt
Filed under: Mus musculus (house mouse)
Lineage: Eukaryota; Metazoa; Chordata; Mammalia; Rodentia; Muridae
Description: long non-coding RNA chr5:34005031-34005910
Source: RNAcentral